GACGUAGGAGGCGAGCGUUGUCCGGAUUCAUUGGGCGUAAAGCGCGUGUAGGCGGCCCGGUAAGUCCGCUGUGAAAGUCGGGGGCUCAACCCUCGAAUGCCGGUGGAUACUGUCGGGCUAGAGUGCGGAAGAGGCGAGUGGAAUUCCUGGUGUAGCGGUGAAAUGCGCAGAUAUCAGGAGGAACACCAAUUGCGAAGGCAGCUCGCUGGGACGUGACUGACGCUGAGACGCGAAAGCCAGGGGAGCGAACGGG
RNAcentral lists this ribosomal RNA (253 nucleotides) under uncultured bacterium. RNAcentral's name for it is "partial 16S ribosomal RNA". It matches the Rfam family "Bacterial small subunit ribosomal RNA", at positions 524 to 776 of the family's 1533-position model. The record is from RNAcentral.